AGAGUUUGAUCAUGGCUCAGAUUGAACGCUGGCGGCAGGCCUAACACAUGCAAGUCGAGCGGCAGCACGGGUACUUGUACCUGGUGGCGAGCGGCGGACGGGUGAGUAAUGCCUAGGAAUCUGCCUGGUAGUAGGGGAUGACGCUCGGAAACGGACGCUAAUACCGCAUACGUCCUACGGGAGAAAGCAGGGGACCUUCGGGCCUUGCGCUAUCAGAUGAGCCUAGGUCGGAUUAGCUAGUUGGUGAGGUAAUAGCUCACCAAGGCGACGAUCCGUAACUGGUCUGAGAGGAUGAUCAGUCACACUGGAACUGAGACACGGUCCAGACUCCUACGGGAGGCAGCAGUGGGGAAUAUUGGACAAUGGGCGAAAGCCUGAUCCAGCCAUGCCGCGUGUGUGAAGAAGGUCUUCGGAUUGUAAAGCACUUUAAGUUGGGAGGAAGGGCAGUUACCUAAUACGUAAUUGUUUUGACGUUACCGACAGAAUAAGCACCGGCUAACUCUGUGCCAGCAGCCGCGGUAAUACAGAGGGUGCAAGCGUUAAUCGGAAUUACUGGGCGUAAAGCGCGCGUAGGUGGUUCGUUAAGUUGGAUGUGAAAUCCCCGGGCUCAACCUGGGAACUGCAUUCAAAACUGACGAGCUAGAGUAUGGUAGAGGGUGGUGGAAUUUCCUGUGUAGCGGUGAAAUGCGUAGAUAUAGGAAGGAACACCAGUGGCGAAGGCGACCACCUGGACUGAUACUGACACUGAGGUGCGAAAGCGUGGGGAGCAAACAGGAUUAGAUACCCUGGUAGUCCACGCCGUAAACGAUGUCAACUAGCCGUUGGGAGCCUUGAGCUCUUAGUGGCGCAGCUAACGCAUUAAGUUGACCGCCUGGGGAGUACGGCCGCAAGGUUAAAACUCAAAGGAAUUGACGG
Molecule: ribosomal RNA, 915 nt
Filed under: uncultured bacterium
Lineage: Bacteria
Description: bacterial SSU rRNA
Rfam family: Bacterial small subunit ribosomal RNA
Source: RNAcentral